Astatotilapia calliptera (eastern happy) is the source of this 2026-nucleotide long non-coding RNA. The record is from Ensembl. NCBI's taxonomy places the organism in Eukaryota, Metazoa, Chordata, Actinopteri, Cichliformes, Cichlidae.
CACAGUUUUACCUCACUCUGAUUUUUGCACAUUUGGCUUCACAUGCCAUCAGGGUUCUUUUUUCUGACAGGUCUAAGCAAGACGACACCAACUGUGUAUAACCCACGCACACAAGUCUGUUGUGAUGGAUGUGUAUCUGCGUGGAAGCCUUGGAUAGAUCAAUGCUGUGGAGAGACGCCGUAUGGCUCGGCACAACGUGGAGUUCUGUGUUGUAAUAAGAGCUUGUACGAGGGCAGAGACGAUGGAGAGGAAUGUUCAGAGAUGGGUAUUCCUUACAACCCGGCUAAAGGGACCAUGUGUUGUUCUCACUUUCAUGGCAGCCCAGGACAACACUGCUGUGGGACAGAAAUUUACCAGCCUCAUGCUGAGAUCUGCUGCAAUGGACACAGGCAUCUCAAAUCAGAAAACAUUUACUGCUGUGGGGUCAAAGCCUACAACAUUAAAGACCCACAGAUGAAGUGCUGUGCAGGAACACUGUACAAUCUGACAUCGUUAGACAAGCAUGGAGGGGAUGCACAAUGCUGUGGAUCCAUUCUGCAAAGGCCACAGGACAUUUGCUGCUCAAGUGAGGACAAAGAGGUGCUGUACUCUGCCAAGACAGGGUUUAGCUGCUGUGGUCACCUCUACUAUAACACCAGCCUGUGGUCAUGCUGUGCUGGGAGGCUGAGAUCAAUCCAUGAAGCAGGACAGGAUCAGAGAAAGAUGAUAAAAGAAUCCAGAGUUCUAUCUGUGAAUAAUUUGAAUAAAGCUAAUCUUUGCAGAGUGUACAUUGGGGCUGUGGAAAGUGUCUCUCUGCAGAGCGUUGUGUUCAGGAAUGUUUUGAAGGUCUAUGGGAUGCAGGCCAAAGUGAAAGCUCUGCCUUUGCCCUACGUCCUGGAAACAAAUGAUCGCUGUAGCUAUCCUAAACUGAUUCCUGGGAAGACCUACUUCUUUAACAAAGACAAUAUUUUCACUGGUUUCAUCGAUGAUUCUUUUCUGCAGCCACUCCAUUUCAUUAUUUCCAAGUGUUCACCUAGGAUCACCACUCACCGAAAAUUAAUCAGUAUGCCUUUUGCAUACUGAGCACUCACACUAAAGCUGAGUGUAUGCUGACACCAGCCCAGCAGCUAGACCCUGAACUUCAAAAUGUAACAAAGGCAAUAAUGAACAGAUAGGCUGGUAGCAUUAUAACCUUCACUUCUAAAUGUACAUGUUUCUAAAACAGAUAUAUUGUGGGGAUUACUUUGUCUUUGAGCUGGUUUUAAAUUUUGCUCUCUGUAGCUUAAGAUUCAAAUCUAAUUUUCAAUAUAAGGACUGUUUUUAAUACUUUAUGGAAUCCUUAAAAUGUCAAUCCUUUCAGGACUGUGUGAACUCUUUGGGACUUGUAUAUUGGACAAUUGAUAUGCAUGCAGCUUUAUGGCCAAAUGAAGCCUGUUUCCUCAUUGUUGCAAACAAAGCAGAUAAAUGAUCUUGAGUUUAUUCUAUGUGUUGAAUGUGGCUUUGAUAGAUUUACAGUGGAGCUCUCAAUGUAAAUCUAUCAAACAGUGAACUUUCUUUUUAAUAUUCUGCUUUUUAAGCAGCCUAUUAUUCUGUGUUAUUCUGUGGUGCAUAAAGUAGAUAUUUGAAGCAAUAUUGAUGCAACAGAGUUCAGUGGGGAGUCAAUCUUUCAUUGUGUGAAUUUAUAGAUGAAAAUUAUAUCUGUAAAAUGAAAAUUAAACCAGCUUCAUCUCAAAGAAUAAAUGAAUUAACUUCCUAUCGUGUUCACUAUCUUCUAUAUUUAUUACUGACUGUAGUCACUUCAUGAUAUAACCACACUUUGACUAGUUGACACAGAAGAUAAAGUUAACCUUUCCCAAGACCAGACAUUGGCUAUAUCAUAUGACUCAUUAAACUCAUUAAGUUAGGACAUUAUAAAGGAUAACUAUUAAAGGUGCCACUAAAAGUCAAAAGAUAGCCAUAUGUUGUAACUUUAUUGCAGUUUUUGUUUGAUAACAGCAUUUUGAUUAUUUUGUAAGUGAUUUAAGUGUUAGUCACAUGUUUAGUGAGG